CCUACGGGAGGCAGCAGUAGGGAAUUUUCGUCAAUGGGGGAAACCCUGAACGAGCAAUGCCGCGUGAGUGAAGAAGGUCUUCGGAUCGUAAAGCUCUGUUGUAAGUGAAGAACGGCUCAUAGAGGAAAUGCUAUGGGAGUGACGGUAGCUUACCAGAAAGCCACGGCUAACUACGUGCCAGCAACCGCGGUAAU
This 194-nucleotide ribosomal RNA is filed under the name uncultured bacterium. RNAcentral describes it as "partial 16S ribosomal RNA". It matches the Rfam family "Bacterial small subunit ribosomal RNA", at positions 338 to 524 of the family's 1533-position model. The record is from RNAcentral.